GUGCACUGCUCUAUCCGCGAGAGCAGCAGCUGGGCGCACACGUCUCUCCCGCGCUCUGUGUUUAGAUGAACGUCGUCAUGGAGUUCAAAACACUUUCAUUCAGUUUCCAAACUGGGAAACACACUGAAUUAAAAUUAAGAGAAUUAAAAGCUACGUUUAAGUUUGAUCGGCACACUGGGUCACAAGAGCUCUGUGGGCAUCUCUAUUGAUUGUGAUAAGGAGGAGGUGGUGGUGGAAACGUAUCUGAUUGAUGGUCUGGUUGGGACCUUGCCAUCCCUCCCUUAACUAACUUGGAAAACAACAUGCACAAUAACACAAUAAUACUGAACAAACAAUACUAAUAUAACACUCCUAGGCAAACCACAUAGACAAUUGCAAAUUCAAUUUAUCCUACAAACAUAAAAUACAAGUAUUAGGCAGGCAUGACGAUGCAGAGGAUCGUAGACCAGAGUACAGAUUAUCGACAGACAGAUAAUCACUCAAUUAAACCCAUUUAUAAUUAUGGGUUUGGAAUUACACCGCACCAGGGAAGAAAGAAAAACACUUACCCUGGCACUUCUGACACCAAAUUGUUAGAUUUCCAUGUAUCUCAGGAAUCUCAGAUUAUGCCUUCCAGCCUUUUCUAAAGUUACUUCUAUUAACUUUUAGUUCUGUGCUUAGAAAGUGUGGUUCUCCUCAGAGCAUUUCAGAUCGAUCUGGGGAGCCUAAAUGAACACACACUACCACAUGCAUGCUCAAAUAGACAUCCCAGUUUAUUCAUGCAAACCAAGAGUAUGUAUACACAUUGAUAACAGCAGUGCGUGGACAGUUUCUACUGGUGCAGGGGCCAGACAGAUUUAGACAAAAUGCACAGCACACAGGGUCAUACUACAAAAUAAGUCCACUAUAAUAAAGAUGGCAGGUGAUCAGCUUAUUCAAAGAGGUGAUUAAAUGUAUACAUCCAUCAUAGGUAUUUGGUAGCAGUUCAUAGUAUAAGAGAGUACAUGAUAUAUAUUUAUUUCAAAUCUGAUCCAAAAUAACCUUGUAAUAGCCUGGUAAUAAUUCGUAUAAAACUGUAAUUGAUUCAUGGUGUGCACUGUGUGAAGUUAAAUGAAACCUACAACUAAAUUAUUUUCAGUAUCUAAAGGUAUAAUUUUGUAAACAUUUCAGCUGAUUCAGCUGAAAAUGAAUGUUUUGAAGCUGUGUAAUGAAAUCUUGUGGCUGGUGUGAAAGGUGAAGUAAGGUUGUUGCAGGAUUGGCUGUUUCACACGUGAAAAUUGAACUUUUUGUGGUUGAAAGUUGACAGUGUUUAGCCUGGAUACCAAUAACACAGUAUGGCACUGCGUCAUAGCAAAGCAAGCUAGUAUAAUUAGAUUUUAAAUAAGGUAGAAGGACUGGAUAUUUUUUGUCUACUUAAUUCCAUUGCACUUUAAAUUGCAGUAUGGUGACGGGUUUAGUACGUAUAUUACAAGUUAUUUUAUACACAAAGGUACUUUGACAGUCGAAUAUUAUUUAGUUAAAAAUACCUUGUGUACAUGUCACAAGCUGAAGAUGUAAUUUCUUUAUAACUAAAAUAUAAAUGCCAUUUACAACAGUUAUUGAUGCUAAUAUCCAAGUUUGAACAUGACAUGAAUAAAUAUAUAUACCUCCAGUUUAAUACAGAAUAAUUAUAUAAUGAUAGACAUAUGAUCCCUG
Molecule: long non-coding RNA, 1674 nt
Organism: Ictalurus punctatus (channel catfish)
Lineage: Eukaryota; Metazoa; Chordata; Actinopteri; Siluriformes; Ictaluridae
Source: Ensembl